This is a long non-coding RNA of Nannospalax galili (Upper Galilee mountains blind mole rat), 380 nucleotides long. RefSeq lists it as uncharacterized. The transcript is spliced from 3 exons. The record is from RefSeq and is a predicted model, not a curated record. Lineage: Eukaryota; Metazoa; Chordata; Mammalia; Rodentia; Spalacidae.
UGCCGGCUUGGGAAACUGCUGCACUCAGAGGCCAAAGUUUUUGGGUGUCGCAGUGUUGUGCAAAGGCACACAGCAGCCACAGCUUUCCAUUUCCUUCUUUCUCCGAGAGAGACAUAUUGGGAUUUUUUUUUUUUUUUUUUUUUUUUUAGGCAUUUGUAAUUGCUUUCAGGAUUUAGAAUUAUUUGUGUGGAGUUUUUGUUUUUGGAAUCAGUACCGUUUUUGUAGCGCGGGCGGGUCCCUUGCAGCCACUUGUCAUACAGAUUAACGCUUCCUUUUUUGAGGGAUUAAAACAGAGGCCAUUCCUUGCCAUCCCAGCUCAGGUGAACUAGGCUCUGUCUCAAAGGUUCUCCUCAGGCCAGCUGUGAAGACCCUAACCUGGA